Molecule: RNA transcript, 684 nt
Organism: Drosophila busckii
Lineage: Eukaryota; Metazoa; Arthropoda; Insecta; Diptera; Drosophilidae
Exons: 3
Source: RefSeq, a predicted model, not a curated record
CUAUUUAGACUUCAACGCGUACGCAAGCUUCACGUUUGUUGCUCCGGCCAAUAGCUUGGGCGGCUUGUUUUGUAUUUACUUUUGGCUUGUAAGAUCUCAUAACUGACCAGGCCGGCAGCCUCUUGACCUUUAACGUGCGUUCAGCUUGCGUGUGUGUGUGUGAGUGUGAAAAUCUGUUAUUAUAUUUCUGCAGCUGUAAUAUUAGCGUAUGUAAAUUUAUGCGCUAAAAAUGAGAUCAUUUGUUGAUAAGAGAGUUGGGGAAACACUUCGGGGGAACUGGUCGCUGGUACUUCGAUGAUGAUUUUUGCUCUUGUUGUUGUGAUUUGAUUGGUGCCACCACUUGCUGCAGCUCGUUAUUGUUGUAGUUACUGUUACUAUUGUUGCUGCCUGUCUAUUACUGUUACUUCAAGUUGCUGUUGUCGGAGUUGACUGCGUUAUAGUUUUUUCUUUAUUUUCGUUGUAAAAUCGGUCAAUGGAAACGGGCUUGUAAGCAGGUGCAACUAGCUCCAGUGAAAAGACCAAGACCAAGCGACCAACUGCAACUCGCAACUCCGUGGAACCAAACAUGUCACUAAAGAAGGAAACGCCUUCGGAUGUGAUGUUGCAUUUGGCGGCAUUGCGAGGAGAUGCAAUGGAGUUGCGUCGAGUGCUGGACACCGGCAAAGUUCAUGUGGAUGUAAAAUA